RNAcentral lists this ribosomal RNA (408 nucleotides) under uncultured bacterium. RNAcentral describes it as "partial 16S ribosomal RNA". It matches the Rfam family "Bacterial small subunit ribosomal RNA", at positions 28 to 526 of the family's 1533-position model. The record is from RNAcentral.
GACGAACGCUGGCGGCGUGCUUAACACAUGCAAGUCGAACGGAGUGGCGAACGGGUGAGUAACACGAGGGGGACAUGCCCUGCACUUCGGGAUAAGCCCGGGGAACUGGGUCUAAUACCGGAUAGUGUGGGAUGGGCCCGCGGCCUAUCAGCUUGUUGGUGGGGUAAUGGCCUACCAAGGCGGCGACGGGUAGCCGGCCUGGGAGGGUGGACGGCCACAUUGGGACUGAGACACGGCCCAGACUACUACGGGAGGCAGCAGUGGGGAAUAUUGCACAAUGGGCGGAAGCCUGAUGCAGCGACGCCGAGUGGGGGAUGACGGCCUUCGGGUUGUAAACUCCUUUCACCAUCGACGCGGUAGAUGGAGAAGAAGUGACGGCUAAAUACGUGCCAGCAGCCGCGGUAAUUC